UUUAAUUUAAUUAGACACACACGUGCAGACGGGUCUGGAUGAAGAUAUCCGAUAGACCUUAUUGGAAAAUGUUUUUCUGUCGUUUCGUAUAAUUAGAUUGAAUUUGGCCGGUUCUACUGUGGAAGACGCCCUGAGAAGAUGGGGAUACCGUUGCCAUGGGAGAUUGGUCCAAAGAGCCAUGCUGUCUUUGAGUCUUUGAGUUUCAUUAUUAUUUUUUUAAGCUCAAAAUUGCAACAGACUUUAUUUUGUCCCUUGAUCUAGGACGUGCACACUUUGAACUAGCCCAGGUCAAUUUCAACAUGGCGGGGGUUUCAGUCCAGUGUGAUGUCCCCACUGGCCAACCAUGUGGACUUCGUUGGGUCCCAUCAGAUGGUACCUAGUACCAGCCCAGGUGAAUGUAAACAAAGCUGGGGUUUCACUCCAGUUUAAUGUCUCAUCGAUGUGGACUUGGUUGGCUACACUCAGAUGGACUUUGUCUAAAUUCACCUGGGCUAGGACAAAGCUGGGGUUUAACUCCAGUGUGAUGUCUCCACCGUUUGCUUGCUUCAAAUUGCACAUCCUAGGUCACGGGACCGAAUCCGAAGUCUGUGCCACAAUUCUGAGCAGAAAAAUAAUAAAUUAAUUUGCUUGUAUUCUAUUUGCUUGUAUUCUUUUGUAAUAAUUUGUAUUUCUUUGAUUUUUUUUGUGUUGCUUUGUAUAUGUAUGUAGCCUACAGGUGACCCAUACCGGGUCGGCCCAGUGGAGGGGAUCAUCAGCCUAUUGGAACAGGGAGACCAAUCUUGAAUUGCAACUGAAACAAGGAAGGCUGUUCUUCUCUGGCCUCAGCUCUUGAGCUCCAACCCCUCCCAUCAGAGAGGGCUGGAGCUGAGCUACUAUCACCCAGGAGACUCAGGGGCUCUGCUGCUCUCUGCUGGACUGGAGGGUCCUCGCUGGAGACCGGACACCCUCAGCGUGUAGCACGGUGGACUAUGGAGGCUGAAACCAGCUCUAAAGAAGUUCCUUCUGCUGAUCAGGUCAGAGUUUGCUCUGAGCAUUCUGGAGCCUCCAGACCCUCCGGACGCCAGCAUCUGAGGCGUCUAGCUCCCUGAAGGCCUCCGUGUUUCCUGAUUGGCUGAAGCGCUCCAGCAGGGGCUGGAAGACCAUCGCUGGGAUGCUGUAGUUCAGGUGAGGGUAUGUCACGUUGGCCGUGCAGUCCCUGGUGUUACUGGCUACAAUGCCUGGGAUUUAGAGGAACAUAAUUAUACGUUUUAAACUUGCAUACAAUUGUGGGGAAUGAUAGUUUGGGUGUUUGACCGAAAGAUGGUAUUCUGGGUUCAAACGCCCAACUUUCCUGCUCAUUGAUGUGUGCAAUAUAUACUCAUUGUAUGCCGCUUUGGUCGGCAAAAUGACUUAAUUGAAUAUAAUUAAAUAUAUUAAGCAAUUUUGUG
This is a long non-coding RNA of Gadus chalcogrammus (walleye pollock), 1427 nucleotides long. RefSeq lists it as uncharacterized. The transcript is spliced from 5 exons. The record is from RefSeq and is a predicted model, not a curated record. NCBI's taxonomy places the organism in Eukaryota, Metazoa, Chordata, Actinopteri, Gadiformes, Gadidae.